RNAcentral lists this ribosomal RNA (429 nucleotides) under Pseudomonadota bacterium. RNAcentral's name for it is "Proteobacteria bacterium partial 16S ribosomal RNA". It matches the Rfam family "Bacterial small subunit ribosomal RNA", at positions 355 to 776 of the family's 1533-position model. Lineage: Bacteria; Pseudomonadati; Pseudomonadota. The record is from RNAcentral.
UGGGGAAUAUUGGACAAUGGGCGAAAGCCUGAUCCAGCCAUGCCGCGUGUGUGAAGAAGGUCUUCGGAUUGUAAAGCACUUUAAGUUGGGAGGAAGGGCAGUAAGCGAAUACCUUGCUGUUUUGACGUUACCGACAGAAUAAGCACCGGCUAACUCUGUGCCAGCAGCCGCGGUAAUACAGAGGGUGCAAGCGUUAAUCGGAAUUACUGGGCGUAAAGCGCGCGUAGGUGGUUCGUUAAGUUGAAUGUGAAAGCCCCGGGCUCAACCUGGGAACUGCAUCCAAAGCUGGCGAGCUAGAGUAGGGCAGAGGGUGGUGGAAUUUCCUGUGUAGCGGUGAAAUGCGUAGAUAUAGGAAGGAACACCAGUGGCGAAGGCGACCACCUGGGCUCAUACUGACACUGAGGUGCGAAAGCAUGGGGAGCAAACAGG